GAUGAAGAACGUAGCGAAAUGCGAUAAGUAAUGUGAAUUGCAGAAUUCAGUGAAUCAUCGAAUCUUUGAACGCACAUUGCGCCCGCCAGUAUUCUGGCGGGCAUGCCUGUUCGAGCGUCAUUACAACCCUCAGGCCCCCGGGCCUGGCGUUGGGGAUCGGCGGAGCGCCCCCUGCGGGCACACGCCGUCCCCCAAAUACAGUGGCGGUCCCGCCGCAGCUUCCAUUGCGUAGUAGCUAACACCUCGCAACUGGAGAGCGGCGCGGCCACGCCGUAAAACACCCAACUUCUGAAUGUUGACCGCGAAUCAGGUAGGACUACCCGCUGAACUUAAGCAUAUCAAUAAGCGGAGGA
This 353-nucleotide unclassified non-coding RNA is filed under the name soil metagenome. Its description in RNAcentral is "partial contains 5.8S ribosomal RNA, internal transcribed spacer 2, and large subunit ribosomal RNA". The stretch from base 1 to 120 matches the Rfam family "5.8S ribosomal RNA", at positions 35 to 154 of the family's 154-position model. The record is from RNAcentral.